GAGUUUGAUCGUGGCUCAGGAUGAACGCUGGCGGCGUGCCUAACACAUGCAAGUCGAACGAAGCAGUUGGGAUGAAGUUUUCGGAUGGAUUCCUGAUUGACUGAGUGGCGGACGGGUGAGUAACGCGUGGGUAACCUGCCUCACACAGGGGGAUAACAGUUAGAAAUGACUGCUAAUACCGCAUAAGCGCACGGAGACGCAUGUCUCAGUGUAGAAAAGCUUUUACGGUGUGAGAUGGACCCGCGUCUGAUUAGCUAGUUGGCAGGGUAACGGCCUACCAAGGCGACGAUCAGUAGCCGACCUGAGA
This 307-nucleotide ribosomal RNA is filed under the name uncultured bacterium. RNAcentral's name for it is "bacterial SSU rRNA". It matches the Rfam family "Bacterial small subunit ribosomal RNA", at positions 9 to 297 of the family's 1533-position model. The record is from RNAcentral.